GACGAACGCUGGCGGCGUGCUUAACACAUGCAAGUCGAACGGAAAGGCCCUGCUUGCAGGGUACUCGAGUGGCGAACGGGUGAGUAACACGUGGGUGAUCUGCCCUGCACUUCGGGAUAAGCCUGGUAAACUGGGUCUAAUACCGGAUAGGAGCCAUUUUUAGUGUGAUGGUUGGAAAGUUUUUUCGGUGUAGGAUGAGCUCGCGGCCUAUCAGCUUGUUGGUGGGGUAAUGGCCUACCAAGGCGGCGACGGGUAGCCGGCCUGAGAGGGUGGACGGCCACAUUGGGACUGAGAUACGGCCCAGACUCCUACGGGAGGCAGCAGUGGGGAAUAUUGCACAAUGGGCGCAAGCCUGAUGCAGCGACGCCGCGGGGGGGAUGACGGCCUUCGGGUUGUAAACUCCUUUCGCUAGGGACGAAGCUUUUUGUGACGGUACCUAGAUAAGAAGCACCGGCUAACUACGUG
Molecule: ribosomal RNA, 465 nt
Filed under: uncultured bacterium
Lineage: Bacteria
Description: partial 16S ribosomal RNA
Rfam family: Bacterial small subunit ribosomal RNA
Source: RNAcentral